GAUGAACGCUGGCGGCGUGCCUAAUACAUGCAAGUCGAACGAACAGACGAGGAGCUUGCUCCUCUGACGUUAGCGGCGGACGGGUGAGUCACACGUGGAUAACCUACCUAUCAGACUGGGAUAACUUCGGGACACCGGAGCUAAUACCGGAUAAUAUAUUGAACCGCAUGGUUCAAUAGUGAAAGACGGUUUUGCUGUCACUUAUAGAUGGAUCUGCGCCGCAUUAGCUAGUUGGUAAGGUAACGGCUUACGAAGGCAACGAUGCGUAGCCGACCUGAGAGGGUGAUCGGCCACACUGGAACUGAGACACGGUACAGACUCAUACGGGAGGCAGCAGGAGGGAAUCUGCCGCAAUGGGCGGAGGCCUGACGGAGCAGCGCCGCGUGAGUGAGGAAGGUCUUCGGAUCGGAAAACUCUGUUAUUAGGGAAGAACAAAUGUGUAAGUAACUAUGCACGUCUGGACGGUACCUAAUCAGAGAGCCACGGCUAACUACGUG
RNAcentral lists this ribosomal RNA (497 nucleotides) under uncultured bacterium. Its description in RNAcentral is "partial 16S ribosomal RNA". It matches the Rfam family "Bacterial small subunit ribosomal RNA", at positions 28 to 507 of the family's 1533-position model. The record is from RNAcentral.